GACGAACGCUGGCGGCGUGCUUAACACAUGCAAGUCGAACAGUGGCGAACGGGUGAGUAACACGUGAGUAACCUGCCCUCCACUUUGGGAUAACUCCGAGAAAUCGGGGCUAAUACUGGAUAGCGGGGGAUGGGCUCGCGCCCUAUCAGUUUGUUGGUGAGGUAGUGGUCACCAAGGCGUUACGGGUAGCCGGACGGAGAGGGCGACCGGCGACACUGGGACUGAGACACAGCCGAAACUCCUACGGGAGGCAGCAGUGGGGAAUAUUGCACAAUGGGCGAAAGCCUGAAGCAGCGACGCCGCGUGGGUGAUGACGGCCUUCGGGUUGUAAACCUCUGUCAGCAAGGAAGGGGUACUUGCAGAAGAAGCGCCGGCGAACUACGAGCCAGCCGCCGCGGUAAUAC
Molecule: ribosomal RNA, 404 nt
Filed under: uncultured bacterium
Lineage: Bacteria
Description: partial 16S ribosomal RNA
Rfam family: Bacterial small subunit ribosomal RNA
Source: RNAcentral